AUGUGGUUAUUGCUCAAGUCAUGUGCAUUUGGUAUUGGGGACUAUAAAGGUCCGGGAAAUCUACGAACUAUUGGAAUGCAAAUAGCAGAGAAGUUAAAGGGCAGCCCGUUAGCAGCAGUAACUGCAGGGGCACUGUUAAGAGAUCAUCUUAGCGUUGAUCAUUGGAGUAACAUUCUCAAGAAAGAGAAGUGGAAAUCGUUGGGACUCAGUGGGGGCUUCAUGCCUGCUUUGAAGCUUAGCUAUGAUGAGCUACCGUACCAUUUACAACAAUGUUUCUCAUAUUGCUCUAUAUUUCCUGAAAAAUAUAGGUUUCUUGGGAAGGAUCUGGUCUAUAUUUGGAUUUCUCAGGGAUUUUUGAAUCACGCUAAGAGAUUGGAGGAGAUAGGAUGGGAAUAUCUGCAAUUCACUCAGUUUGAAGAGAACCUGAGAAAUGCAAUUGCAUCAGUGAGGAAAUUGAGGACAUUAGUUUUAUUUGGGCACUACGACUCUUUCUUCUUGAAAUUGUUCCUUGAUAUAUUCCAGAAGGACCAGAACUUGCGUCUGCUGCAAAUGUCUGCAACAUGUGCUGAUUUUGAUUCCCUCAUGUGUAGUUUGGUAAAUCCUGCACAUCUUCGCUAUCUAAAACGUGAGCCUGAUGAGGUGGAUGGUGCUUCCCCUCAAAUUUCGAGCAAGUUGUACCAUCUUCAAGUAUUAGAUGUUGGCUCAUACACUGAUCCUAUACCUGAUGGUAAUAAUAAUCUAGUUAGCCUGCGGCAUCUUGUUCCAGAAAAUGGAGUAUACUCUUCUAUUGCUAGCAUUGGUAGCAUGACAUCACUUCAAGAGCUGCAUGAUUUUAAGGUCCAGUUUUGUUCUAGAGGCUUUGAGAUAUCACAACUCCAAUCCAUGAACGAGCUUGUACAACUUGGGGUGUCUCGACUUGAUACUGUUAAAACUCAGGAAGAGGCUUAUGGAGCAGGACUAAGAAGCAAAGAAUACUUGAAAAAUUUGCACUUGUCCUGGAAGGAUACCUUGUCACCCGAGGAAUAUGACACUAGCUCUGAAUCUACUACGGACAAAAACGAGGAGCUCUCACCAAUGGAUGAUAUUGGCUCAUUUUCUGAGCCUUCUUUGGAUAUAGUAGAAACAAGCGUGGAGCUCUUGCCAAUGGGUGAUGGUGACCAAACUGACGAGCCUUCUAUGGAUACAGCAAGAGAGGUGCUCGAGGGACUUGAACCUCACAUGAACUUAAAGCAUCUACAUAUAUCCGGGUAUAAUGGUACUACUUCACCAACUUGGCUUGCCAAUAAUAUCUCAGUUACCUCAUUGCAGACGCUUCAUCUUGAUGAUUGUGGAGAAUGGAGAAUACUUCCAUCUCUAGGAAGUCUUCCAUUUCUUACAAAGCUGAAGUUGAGCAGCAUGCGGGAAGUAAUAGAAGUAUUGGUUCCUUCACUGGAGGAGCUAGUUUUGAUCGACAUGCCUAAGUUAGUGAGAUGCUCAAGCACUUCUGUGGGGGCUCUACGAGCACUGUGGAUCAAGGAUUGUGAAGCAUUGAAGGAGUUUGAUCUGUUUGAGAACGAUGAUAAUUAUGAAAUCAUUCAGGGAUCAUGGUUGCCUGGUCUUAGAGAUUUGAUUCUGAAUUAUUGCCCUCAUUUGAAUGUGUUGAAGCCUCUUCCACCUUCAACUACCUUUUCUAAGGUACUCAUCAGAGAAAUUCCAAGAUUUCCGUAUAUGGAGAUAUCGUCUGGUGAAAAGUUAGAAAUUGGGAAUAUUGAUGAUGAGUUGAGGAUACUAGAUGACAAAACCUUGGCAUUCCAUAAUCUUAGAAACCUGAAAUCGAUGGAGAUAUAUGAUUGCAAAAAUCUAAGGACUUUUUCAUUCAAAGAUUUUAGUCAUCUUGCCUCUUUAACAAGUUUGAAAAUUGGAAACCGUGCACAACUUUUCUCUUCAGAUGUGACGUCAGAGUAUACCCAUGAAGAUGUGACAGCUGUAGAGGAAUUGACCUUAGCAUAUUGCGCACAUAUAACAAGGGUACUGUUACCGAUGGAAGAGGAAGAAAACAGCCUAUUAACAAUAGUACUGUCAUCAGGAAAUCCAGAUGAGGCAUUGACCUGGCUAGUUCAAGACGGACUCUUGCACAUUCCAGCAAAUCUCAUCGCCUCUCUCAAGAAGAUGACUAUUGAUAAGUGCCCUUGUCUAAAAUUUAACUGGGGCAAGGACGGCUUCUCUGGAUUUACCUCGCUUGAGAAGCUUAAAAUUUGGGGAGACUUGCCGUUUGUGCAUAAUGACGAAAGUAAUGACCGGGCGAAUGGAAGUUCCUUUGUGUUCGAAAAGGGGGAUCAACCCCUGGGGGCGAACAGAAGAUGGCUCCUCCCGGCAUCACUUAAAAAACUUGACAUCGGGUCAUGUCGCAUAGAAACGCUGCAACCCUGCUUUCCUAGAGAUAUCACCAGCCUUAAAAAGUUGAAGGUGCGUUCCAUCCGAGGUUUGCAAUCUCUACAGCUGCACUCAUGCACGGCACUGGAAGAAUUGGAGAUUAGAGGCUGUGGAUCGCUCACCGUCACUGAACUAGAGGGCCAUCAGACACCCCUUGGCUGCCUCGGUCGAAUGAAUGUAUCAGACUGUCCUGGCUUGCCACCAUGUUUGGAGAGCAUUUCAACGCCGUGCUCUCGGCUGGAAAGGCUUUGCAUCGAUGACCCAUCUGUCCUUACCAAGUCGUUCUGCAAGCACCUCACCUCCCUGCAAAUGCCUACAACUUUAUUGGUUGGAGGAAGUGAGGAGACUAACAGAUGA
Molecule: ribosomal RNA, 2769 nt
Filed under: Triticum aestivum (bread wheat)
Lineage: Eukaryota; Viridiplantae; Streptophyta; Magnoliopsida; Poales; Poaceae
Description: partial small subunit ribosomal RNA
Source: RNAcentral